UACGGAGGAUCCGAGCGUUAUCCGGAUUUAUUGGGUUUAAAGGGUGCGCAGGCGGGAGAUUAAGUCGGCGGUGAAAUUUUGCAGCUCAACUGUAAAAGUGCCUUCGAAACUGGUUUCCUUGAGUGUAGAUGAAGUAGGCGGAAUUUGUGGUGUAGCAGUGAAAUGCUUAGAUAUCACGAGGAACUCCGAUUGCGCAGGCAGCUUACUAAACUACUACUGACGCUCAGGCACGAAGGCGUGGGGAUCAAACAGGAUUAGAUACCCGCGUA
Molecule: ribosomal RNA, 269 nt
Filed under: uncultured prokaryote
Description: partial 16S ribosomal RNA
Rfam family: Bacterial small subunit ribosomal RNA
Source: RNAcentral